GUUAAAACCACCAUCUAGCCCCCCCUGCCUCCAUAAAUAUAGCAAAAUCUUACUGUAUUCAAGCCUGAAGCUGUAACUCUGCAUGCUGUUUGUCUCAGAAAAACAAGCAGUCUGCUGACAUCAUCAGAAGUGGUAGCCUGAUCCAAUCACAGUGCUUCUCCAGAGGAUUGGCUGAGACUGACAAGGAGGCAGAUCAGAGGCAGAGCCAGCACAAUUCAAACACAGCCCUGG
Molecule: non-coding RNA, 231 nt
Organism: Pelobates cultripes (western spadefoot toad)
Lineage: Eukaryota; Metazoa; Chordata; Amphibia; Anura; Pelobatidae
Source: the annotation of a GenBank genome assembly